RNAcentral lists this long non-coding RNA (2986 nucleotides) under Papio anubis (olive baboon). RNAcentral's name for it is "lncRNA (ENSPANG00000037132.1)". Lineage: Eukaryota; Metazoa; Chordata; Mammalia; Primates; Cercopithecidae. The record is from RNAcentral.
CUAGGUACUAGACUAGAGGUGAAAAAUUCUAUAUCUGAAUUUUAAUUUAAUGGACUAUUAGUGCUUUCCGGAAGGAAGAUUAUAUGACUGAAAUUAUACUUUGAUAUGUGUGUAAGACUGUAUUGUUUCUUUACUCAAUAAUGAUAGGUCACUUCUAGUGUUGCUUUUUUUUUUUUUUUCUAGACAAGGUCUUGUUCUGUAACCCAGGCUUGAGUGCAGUGGUGCAGUCAUGGCUCACUGCAGCCUUGACCUCCUGAGCUUAAGUUCCCUGGGUAGCUGAGACAACAGGCGUGUGCCACCAUGCCUGGGAAAUUUUUGUAUUUUUUGUACAGAUGGGGUUAUGCCAUGUUGCCCAGGCUGGUCUCCAAAUCCUGGGUCAAGCAAUCAACCCAUCUCAGCCUCCCAGAGUGCUGGAAUUACAUGCAUGAGCCACCGUACCCAGCCCUGCUUUCUGUUUUCAACAGAACCUGAAUUCUAACUCAAUAAUCUACUGUCCUUAUAUGGGCAUGCAUUUCACUAAGCCAUGGUGAUUUUCUUUUCCUUGUAAAAUUGUAAAUAAUAAUAGUAUUCAAACCAUCGUUUUAAAAGAAUCACUGUAAAUUAUUUUUUAUGAAAAACAUUAAUGGUCUUAAUAUUUAAGGCAAAUUUCAAAAUAUUUGUAUUGCCUUAAGUAUAGAUGUAGACAAUGGAAUGGAAUUUUGCUGCUAGAACUGUUACAUAUGAAAGAGAUCCUGGUUACCCUGAGUUACGGGCUGUGUUGUAACCAUGCAGGAACUUCAGCCUCCUCAGAAGAAUGUCUUAGACUGAGGGACACAAAGCAGAAAAAGAGAUCAAGGCAAGUUCCAGAGCAGGAGUGGAAGUUUCUUAAAAAGACUUAGAACAGUAAAGAAAGGAAAGGACCCUUGGAAGAGACACAAGACUCCAGUUAUACAUAUUUCAGGAAGCUUAAUACAAUCCCAGAGACACAAAAAGAUGGAAUUUGGAGGACAAGACAAGAGAUACUAAGAAGAGUAAAGCCAAUAAACAGACUGCAGCACAGAAAGGGUCCAGGACCAGGGAGGUGGCUUGUUCAGGAAAGAGUUAACUCAACAGGUCUGGGAUAUUCAAAUCCCACACAUUUCAAAAUAAAGCUCUGUCCUCAUUGGCUAUUGGGAGAAAAUCUCUACGUCUUUGGACUAUUCUUCCAGUUUCGUGUGACUUGGGAUACCUCAGGAAACUUACAAUUACAGUGGAAGUGGAAGCAGGCACAUCUUACAUGAAGGUAGGAGAAAGAGGGAGGGAGUGAAGGAGAAAGAGCCCCUUAUAAAACCAUCAGAUCUUGUGAGAACUCACUCACUAUCAGUAGAACAGAAUGGGGGAAACCACCCUUGUGAUCCAAUCACUUCCCAUCAGGUCCUUCCCUUGAUAUAUAGGGAUUUGGGGGAUUACAAUUCAAGAUGAGAUUUGGUGGGGACACCAAGUCAAACCAUAUCAACUUGCAUUUGCAACUGUGCUCCCUCUUCGUGCUCUGAGAGUAUGGGUUCCUCUCCUACUAAAGUCCUGGCUGCAGAUUUUGGCUUGGCGUUCCUUGGCUGCACAUCAUCAUAGCCCUGGGGUGAACUCAGCCUUUAUGUUCUCUCUCCAGCUUGGCGGGCACCAGGUGAAGGGAUUUUGAAAGAGGCAAUGGCAGAGGGCCUUUCACUUGUCUCUUGCAGCUCUACCCCAGAGAAAUGCAGAGCUGCUACCAAUCAGAGCAAUCAGCCCAGUGCGGGGUAUCUGUACUGUGGGCCCAAGCUGGGGCCUUCACCUUGUUCCUACAAAAAGAAGGGGCAGGGGCUCCUAUAGAAGACAGGCUGGCCUCUUAUCUUUAUGGUGGCUGUGUUGUGCUGGAGUAAAUCACUCAGGGUCUUUGUUUCUUCCUCAGUCUGAGGGAAGCAAGGGCAGUACCACUGCGUGGCAGUGGCAGAAGGGCUUUCAGUUGCCUCUGAAAGCUCUACGCCAGAGAAAUGCAGAGCCUCCUCCAAUGACAAUGUUCAGCCAGGGGGUGGGGUGACUGCACUGUGGUUACAAGCUGGGGACCCUGCUUGGUGAAGAACAGGGUGUCAGGGGCUCACAGAGAAAGGAGAUUGGGCUCUUCUCCAUAUGGCAACUCUGGCAUGCUCGAGGCACAAGUAAAGCCCUAGGCUGUUUCUUUGCCAAUAUGAGGACAACAAAGGCAAAACAACUGUGGUGGCAAUGGCAAAGAGGCUAUCAGUUGCCGCUGGGAGCUGCACCCCAGGUAAACAGAGCCACCACCAGUGGGAAUGCUCAGUUGGAGUUGGGGGUGGGGCAUCUGCUUUGUGAUCCUGAGCCAGGCACCUUUCAUUUUGAGCAGUAGAGGGUGGAGGUUCACAGGGAAGAGAGGUUGGGCACCUCUCUGUGUGGUGGUUGCAGCAUGCUGAAGAUGCCAGUCACACAAUCAGGCCCUUCCUUUCUUCCUUAGGCCUAGGACCAUAAGGGUGUUACCACUGGAGCUGUAAUAGGAGAGGGACUGUAAAGGGAGAGUGGUUGUCUCUGGGAUUUUCUCCCCACAAAACAAAGACCUGUCACCAACUAAAGUGUUCAGUUUGCGGCAGGGAGGCUGUGCUGGGGGGGGGGGGGCCAGGUUCAGAGGCCCUGUUCAGUGAGGAGUAACACGGGCAGGGAACUCCUUGAAAAACAGUCUGGCUGCUUUUCCAUAAGGCAGCUGUGCUGUACUGGAGGCCUGAGUUAGUCCUUAGACUUUUUUCUUGCUCCUAAUCCUGAGAGCAAUAGGAGUAGGAGCUGUAGAGCAAUAAAAAUGGUGGGCCUUCUUGCUAUAAGUGGGGGCACCAGGUGAAGGGAUUUUGAAUUAGGCAAUGGAAGAACGCCUUUCACCUGGGACAGAGCUCUGUCGCAGGAAGCACAGAGGUGCUACCAGUCUUCGUUAUUGUUUGUCAUACAAAUUUUUGGAGGCAACCUAAAUACCACUCAAUAAAUAGACAGUUAA